RNAcentral lists this ribosomal RNA (98 nucleotides) under uncultured eukaryote. RNAcentral's name for it is "partial 18S ribosomal RNA". The record is from RNAcentral.
UGGUGGAGUGAUUUGUCAGGUCUAUUCCGGUAACGAGCGAGACCGCCGAGCCGAUGGCUGACGGGCUGUGCAAGCAGCAGGAGGCGGCGGCGAUAACA